CCUACGGGAGGCUGCAGUGGGGAAUAUUGGACAAUGGGGGCAACCCUGAUCCAGCCAUGCCGCGUGUGUGAAGAAGGCCCUCGGGUUGUAAAGCACUUUCAGUGAGGAAGAACGCCUGGUGGUUAAUACCCAUCAGGAAAGACAUCACUCACAGAAGAAGCACCGGCUAACUCCGUGCCAGCAGCCGCGGUAAUACGGAGGGUGCGAGCGGUAAUCGGAAUUACUGGGCGUAAAGCGCGCGUAGGUGGCUUGAUAAGCCGGUUGUGAAAGCCCCGGGCUCAACCUGGGAACGGCAUCCGGAACUGUCAAGCUAGAGUGCAGGAGAGGAAGGUAGAAUUCCCGGUGUAGCGGUGAAAUGCGUAGAGAUCGGGAGGAAUACCAGUGGCGAAGGCGGCCUUCUGGACUGACACUGACACUGAGGUGCGAAAGCGUGGGUAGCAAACAGGAUUAGAUACCCCAGUAGUC
This 465-nucleotide ribosomal RNA is filed under the name Vreelandella stevensii. Its description in RNAcentral is "partial 16S ribosomal RNA". It matches the Rfam family "Bacterial small subunit ribosomal RNA", at positions 338 to 795 of the family's 1533-position model. The record is from RNAcentral. Lineage: Bacteria; Pseudomonadati; Pseudomonadota; Gammaproteobacteria; Oceanospirillales; Halomonadaceae.